This 263-nucleotide unclassified non-coding RNA is filed under the name plant metagenome. Its description in RNAcentral is "partial contains small subunit ribosomal RNA, internal transcribed spacer 1, and 5.8S ribosomal RNA". The record is from RNAcentral.
UUUCCGUAGGCGGACCUGCGGAAGGAUCAUUAUUGUAUAACCGAGGUGCGAGGGCUGUCGCUGACCCGAAAGGUCGUGCACGCCCGAGUGCCCUCACACACAUCCAUCUCACCCCUAUGUGCACCACCGCGUGGGUCCCCCUUUGGCUUGUUCGGAGGGGGGCUUACGUUUUCACACAAACUUUGUAUGCAGUGUAGAAUGUAUUUUUUGUUUUUGCGAUCACGCAAUCAAUACAACUUUCAACAACGGAUCUCUUGGUUCUG